UAACACGUGAGCAACCUGCCCCAGGCUUUGGGAUAACCCCGGGAAACCGGGGCUAAUACCGAAUAUGACCUCCGAUCGCAUGGUCGGUGGUGGAAAGUUUUUCGGCUUGGGAUGGGCUCGCGGCCUAUCAGCUUGUUGGUGGGGUGAUGGCCUACCAAGGCGACGACGGGUAGCCGGCCUGAGAGGGCGACCGGCCACACUGGGACUGAGACACGGCCCAGACUCCUACGGGAGGCAGCAGUGGGGAAUAUUGCACAAUGGGCGGAAGCCUGAUGCAGCGACGCCGCGUGAGGGAUGACGGCCUUCGGGUUGUAAACCUCUUUCAGCAGGGACGAAGCGUAAGUGACGGUACCUGCAGAAGAAGCGCCGGCCAACUACGUGCCAGCAGCCGCGGUAAGACGUAGGGCGCGAGCGUUGUCCGGAUUUAUUGGGCGUAAAGAGCUCGUAGGCGGCUUGUCGCGUCGACCGUGAAAACCUGGGGCUCAACCCCAGGCCUGCGGUCGAUACGGGCAGGCUAGAGUUCGGUAGGGGAGACUGGAAUUCCUGGUGUAGCGGUGAAAUGCGCAGAUAUCAGGAGGAACACCGGUGGCGAAGGCGGGUCUCUGGGCCGAUACUGACGCUGAGGAGCGAAAGCGUGGGGA
Molecule: ribosomal RNA, 641 nt
Filed under: Micromonospora sp. I15A-00838
Lineage: Bacteria; Bacillati; Actinomycetota; Actinomycetes; Micromonosporales; Micromonosporaceae
Description: bacterial SSU rRNA
Rfam family: Bacterial small subunit ribosomal RNA
Source: RNAcentral